AGCGGGGGAUAACACCUGGAAACAGAUGCUAAUACCGCAUAACAACUUGGACCGCAUGGUCCGAGCUUGAAAGAUGGCUUCGGCUAUCACUUUUGGAUGGUCCCGCGGCGUAUUAGCUAGAUGGUGGGGUAACGGCUCACCAUGGCAAUGAUACGUAGCCGACCUGAGAGGGUAAUCGGCCACAUUGGGACUGAGACACGGCCCAAACUCCUACGGGAGGCAGCAGUAGGGAAUCUUCCACAAUGGACGAAAGUCUGAUGGAGCAACGCCGCGUGAGUGAAGAAGGGUUUCGGCUCGUAAAACUCUGUUGUUAAAGAAGAACAUAUCUGAGAGUAACUGUUCAGGUAUUGACGGUAUUUAACCAGAAAGCCACGGCUAACUACGUGCCAGCAGCCGCGGUAAUACGUAGGUGGCAAGCGUUGUCCGGAUUUAUUGGGCGUAAAGCGAGCGCAGGCGGUUUUUUAAGUCUGAUGUGAAAGCCUUCGGCUCAACCGAAGAAGUGCAUCGGAAACUGGGAAACUUGAGUGCAGAAGAGGACAGUGGAACUCCAUGUGUAGCGGUGAAAUGCGUAGAUAUAUGGAAGAACACCAGUGGCGAAGGCGGCUGUCUGGUCUGUAACUGACGCUGAGGCUCGAAAGUAUGGGUAGCAAACAGGAUUAG
Molecule: ribosomal RNA, 660 nt
Filed under: Lactiplantibacillus plantarum
Lineage: Bacteria; Bacillati; Bacillota; Bacilli; Lactobacillales; Lactobacillaceae
Description: bacterial SSU rRNA
Rfam family: Bacterial small subunit ribosomal RNA
Source: RNAcentral